GAAAACUGAGCUUUUUAGCAAUCGGUCACUGACAUGACUGAAGCAUUAAUGCUAGCUCAGAUCAUAUUAUAUUUGUGUGUGUGGUCACUGUGUCAGAUUAGGAGAUGUUUUAGAAGAUGGAUUCAGUUUUGGGAUUUAAUUGAGGCGGAAGUGCCUUCAAGCUGCAUUCCUUUUGAUUGCCAGCAGGGGGCGACUCUUUGUGCUGCCUAGUCUUUGUGGAACUGUGAAGGUCGUUUUGUAAUUUACUAAAGUCAGAAAGGAGAAUCAUCCAGGUGCACUCGUAGACUUAUGACUUUUCAGUUAUUUGUCCUCUGUUUCUUGGUCACAUUCAUCACUUGUUCAUCAAAAUUCUCUUCAAAACAACCGAAUGGUGGCGGAUAAAAACUUUGCCUUUUGAGAAUGAGAGUCACCACAGAUGCCACAUCCCAGUCAGUCACACUUGUUAUCCAGCCUUUUCAAAUGAGAGAACCAAAGUGUUGUGUAUAAACUGACAUAUAGUCUGUUUUACAGUCCUGCGUUUCCAACACUGGCAACAUCGUUUCUCUUUUGUUUUUGUCAUUUUCAGCUUCACGGAAAACUGGAGAAGGUUCCGGAAACUGAAGCGUAAAAAUCAAAAACCUUAUCUGAACCUUACUGUGAUCUGAUCUCCUCUUUAAGGUCAUUUUCAGCAUGUCUUUUUCUUUCCUCCAUUCUGACCACUCUCACUGUGUGACUUCACCAUGGACCUCACAUUAGUGCAAAGAACGAACAUCAACUUUUACUUUAAACUGAUCCAGAGUUUGUGGAUGAUCAUCGUUGGUGAUGAGAGCUGAAUCUUUAGCUAUGACCAAGCAGUUUCCAGUCAAAGACCAGAGUUUCCAAGUCCAAAGGCAGCACAUCAGGUUGAGGAAACUUAGAAGAACGCUCUGCAUUUUUUUCAACAUUUAUCUGGUUGUGCAUCAUGGAUUCUAUCCACAGCAGGAUAAACAGUGUUCACCACCAGAAAAUAAAAAAAAACACAAGAUAUAUAAUUUUCUGUGGCUCAGACACUCUAAAGGUCAAAGUGACACAUUGAGUGGAAGAAGACAUUUAGAUUUGUGUGCGUGUGUGAGAGACGAGGAAGGCUGUCCCAAAUCUUCACACAUCACCUUUGAAGUCUGCACAGUGUCGUGUCACGCCACGCCACGCUUGCGUUGUUGUUCAAACACAGAAAAAGUAGUCAUGUGAAAACAAAGCAAACACAGUGAUGCUCACCAACGUUCCCGGCAGAAUACUGAACUGAAAAAACCCCCCAAAUAUUUGAUGCCGUAGUGCGUUUGUGUUUACCUUAACGUCACUCGUGCCAAUUUAGAUGGACCACGUCUGUUGUAUCCUAAGCUUUGUGAAUUUUGUGGGUGUUUUGAAACAGACAGUUUUCCUAGUAACUUUACAGUACUUUCCCUUAACAUCCAUUUUUCUUUCAUGUGGUGACUUUUGCACUCCAGUCUUUUUUUAAAAAAAUAUUUGAGAACUAAAUAAGUGGAUUAUAGUGACAAUGGUACUGCGUGUUGGAAACAGUGAUGGCUGUGAAACUUUGAAAGCUGCAGCCUUAAAUAUAUGAAAACUUCUUGAAACUUUUCUUCUGUGUAUUAUUCUACUCGAAUGUCUGUUCACUCUCUGUGAUGAAGACCCAGAGGUGCAUUUCCUGUGUAUAAUCAGAGCUGCACACAGUUUAAACUUUGGAUGUUAGCUUCAUGUCCUGUCACUGACCUGUGAUGUUACUCUCAUCUGCAGAGAGCUGGUAGAUCUGUAUUUGAUCAUUGUGUGGGCCCAUAUAAAAUAAAGUCUACAUUUUGCCAAAUUUUCAGACUUGAUAGCACGACAACAACGCUUAAUGAGCUUUUGCUUCUCUGACUACUGACGUGGUCCACCGGCUGGUUCGGGACAUAUUUGGGCCUCAUAUAUGAUCCAUUUUCUGUCCAAUAACACAGAUGAUAGAUUAAAUCGAUCAAAAACUGGACUUUUUUUUAUUUUUUUAUUAUUGAAUCACUUAUUAAUACAGUGAAUUUUUAAAAAAGUUUUAGAUUUACCUUUACCUAUGGUCGUGAGCUUCAGUUAAUGACCGACAGAAUACAGUUGACACCGCUUCUCUGAAUUGAAAGAGCCAGCUGACAUAGUUCGGACUUCCAGGGGCAGAUCCAGCACACUCAGGAGAGAUUGUGGCUCUCGGCUGGUUUGGGAAUUUCUCAAAGAGCAGGAGGUGGGAGCAUCCAUGCCCCUGUGCCCAGAGAAGCCGUAGACCAUGCAUAAACAAUGAGCUGAUGAAUGCAGGGGAGAGAACUCAUCAGAAUAUAUUUGCUGAGCUAUGUAAGGAGAAUAUUACAAACUCUAGAUAUAUGAAUUUUAAAAUAAAUAUAAAGAUGUUUUUCUUGCUGUUCUUUUGCAUCCAGAUAUUGAGAUCCCGCCCAUAUCUUAAUGAGUCAUCUUUGCAAGUACGGGGAGGCUGACUGUGUUACGUGUAAGCCGCCCUUUCCACAUUUCCAUGCUAAGCAAACUGUUUAGCUGUAGAUUCAUGUGUUCAGGAUUCUUUGGAACCCCCCCCCCCCCCCCCCCCAAAAUAAAUAAAUAAAUAAAUAUCCUGCCCUUAAACACCUCAGUCAACAAGCUCUGAUGUGAGAGAGAGAGAAGCUUAAAUAUUACACUCCUGAGUUACUCCCAAAUCUCUUUUUUUCUUCUUGCGGAUUAUUUUGUAUUUGUUGUGGCCAAACCAGCAGAGAUUUUCAUGCCUUAACUGUCUCUGAGUGACGUAAGUGGUUGUAUCAGAUCAGAUUUUCAUUGUCUGAAUAAAGAAAUGUUUGAAACUGAAGGUGUUUUUUUUUUUCCUUUCA
Molecule: long non-coding RNA, 2846 nt
Organism: Astatotilapia calliptera (eastern happy)
Lineage: Eukaryota; Metazoa; Chordata; Actinopteri; Cichliformes; Cichlidae
Source: Ensembl